Molecule: unclassified non-coding RNA, 261 nt
Filed under: plant metagenome
Description: partial contains small subunit ribosomal RNA, internal transcribed spacer 1, and 5.8S ribosomal RNA
Source: RNAcentral
UCUCCGUUGGUGAACCAGCGGAGGGAUCAUUACCGAGUUUACAACUCUCAAACCCCAUUGUGAACGCUACCAAACCGUUGCCUCGGCGGGAUUUCUGCCCCGGGCGCGUCCCGGCCCCGGACCAGGGCGCUCGCCGGAGGACCAACCCAACACUCUUGUGUAUACCCCCUCGCGGGUUUUUUAUAUCUGCGCCUUCUCGGCGCCCCUAGCGGGCGUUUCGAAAAUGAAUCAAAACUUUCAACAACGGAUCUCUUGGUUCUG